RNAcentral lists this ribosomal RNA (398 nucleotides) under uncultured bacterium. Its description in RNAcentral is "partial 16S ribosomal RNA". It matches the Rfam family "Bacterial small subunit ribosomal RNA", at positions 338 to 733 of the family's 1533-position model. The record is from RNAcentral.
CCUACGGGGGGCUGCAGUGAGGAAUAUUGGUCAAUGGACGAGAGACUGAACCAGCCAAGUAGCGUGAGGGAUGACUGCCCUGUGUGUUGUAAACUUCUUUUAUAAAGGAAUAAAACCAGGCACGUGUGCCUUUUUGCGUGUACUUUAUGAAUAAGGAUCGGCUAACUCCGUGCCAGCAGCCGCGGUAAUACGGAGGAGGCAAGCGUUAUCCGGAAUGACUGGGCGUAAAGGGUGCGUAGGUGGUUUGACAAGUUAGUAGCGCAACGCCGGGGCUCAACUUCGGACCGACUAUUAAAACUGUUGGACUUGAGUGGAGGAGGGGCAAGCGGAAUUCCCAGUGUAGCGGUGGAAUGCGUAGAUAUCAGGAGGAACACCAGUGGCGAAGGCGGAAUGCUAGA